Molecule: transfer RNA, 23 nt
Filed under: Gigaspermum repens
Lineage: Eukaryota; Viridiplantae; Streptophyta; Bryopsida; Gigaspermales; Gigaspermaceae
Description: partial tRNA-Ser
Source: RNAcentral
CGGAAAGAGAGGGAUUCGAACCC